GGCCAGUUAGCUCAGUUGGUUGGAGCGUGAUGCUGAUAACACCAAGGUCGCGGGUUCGAUUCCUGCUCGGUCCC
This 74-nucleotide transfer RNA is filed under the name Apaloderma vittatum (bar-tailed trogon). It matches the Rfam family "tRNA". Rfam says of the family: Transfer RNA (tRNA) molecules are approximately 80 nucleotides in length. The record is from Rfam by way of RNAcentral. Lineage: Eukaryota; Metazoa; Chordata; Aves; Trogoniformes; Trogonidae.